GCCGUCGGGUACCAUUACUAGAUGGUCACUUCGAUUGGUACAAGAAUUUAUUUUUAUGCUACCGACUUAGGUUCAGACUUAUAAAAUUACACACAUUAGAGUUCAUGAUCUAAUCGGAUGGUUGAUCAACGAUUAAGAAUCGUUCUAGGGUUAAACGAUCAACACGAUUGACAUUUAACCUAGUGCAAGUGUUGCAGGAGGAUCGAUUAGCAAUUCG
This 217-nucleotide long non-coding RNA is filed under the name Elaeis guineensis (African oil palm). RNAcentral describes it as "long non-coding RNA (EGUI_LNC038460)". Lineage: Eukaryota; Viridiplantae; Streptophyta; Magnoliopsida; Arecales; Arecaceae. The record is from RNAcentral.